Molecule: ribosomal RNA, 1120 nt
Filed under: Acanthamoeba castellanii
Lineage: Eukaryota; Discosea; Longamoebia; Acanthamoebidae
Description: bacterial SSU rRNA
Rfam family: Bacterial small subunit ribosomal RNA
Source: RNAcentral
UUAAAUUCCUCACUUCACAUUUAGUGGAAGAUUUAUAUCGUCUGUAAUAGAGCUUUUAUAGGAUUAGGUAGUUGUUAUAGUAAUUAUUUAACAAGCCGACGAUGCUUAGCUGGUUUGAGAGAAUGAUCAGCCACAUUGGGACUGAAAACGGCCCAAGUCUUCUAAAAGGGCAGCAGUGGAGAAUAUUUGACAAUGGGCGAAAGCUUGAUCGAGUAAUGUUACGUGGGUGAUCAGAAGGCUUAAUUGCUGUAAAACUCGUUUCGUCAAGGAUUAUAAUGCAAUCGUACUUGAAGGAGAAGCCCUGACUAACUUCGUGCCAGCAGUCGCGGUAAUACGGAGAGGGCUAGUGUUAUUCGCAUUGACUGGGUGUAAAGGGCGCGUAGGUGGCUCGUUAAGUUUCAAAGCAAAUAUUAAACAUAGCGUUUAAAAACUUUUUAAUACUAACGGGCUAGAGUUUAUUAGAAGGUAGCUGAACAUUAAGUGUAAAGGUGAAAUUUUCCGAUAUUUAAAGGGCAUGCAAUAGGCGAAGGCUGCUACCUAUUUUAAUACUGACACUGAGGCGCAAAAGCAUAGGUAUCAAACAGGAUUAGAGACCCUGGUAGUCUAUGCCCUGACCGAUGAAUAUUAAUUACGUUUUUGAAAAAUGUGAUUUAGCUAACGCGUAAAUAUUCCACCUGAGUACUACGACCGCAAGGUUAAAACUCAAAGAAACUGACGGAAGAUUGUAUAAGCGGUGGAGUAUGUGGUUUAAUUUGAUAUAACGCAAAGAAUCUUACCAACCCUUGAAUACAAGUAGAUAUUUUUCAGUAUUCCGGCAACGGGAUGACUGGCGUAUUUGUAGGUUUUUUUUUAUUUAAUAAAAAAAAAAAAUACAGACUUGUACAGGUGCUGCAUGGUUGUCGGCAGUCCGUGUUGUGAAAUGUUUUGUUAAUUCAUUUAACGGACGUAACCUUCAGUUAUAUUUGUUUAAAAAAUAUAGCAAUAUUAAUUUUCUAAAAUUAAUUGAGAGAAGAGGAAGUCAAAUCAUUAUGGCCUAUAUAGGUUGGGCUACACACGUACUACAAUGGUAAUCACAAUGUGAAGCAUUGGUGUAAGCCGAAGCGAAUCAUUAAAAAUUUAU